Molecule: ribosomal RNA, 358 nt
Filed under: Thaumeledone gunteri
Lineage: Eukaryota; Metazoa; Mollusca; Cephalopoda; Octopoda; Octopodidae
Description: partial 28S ribosomal RNA
Rfam family: Eukaryotic large subunit ribosomal RNA
Source: RNAcentral
CCGAGGAGUCCCAGUCGGCUGCGAGUCGUUGGAGCCAAUCGAGCUACUAACUCCGACGGCACAGUGAAAGCGAGAACGUGACACGUCGUCGCCGAUAGCGUCCGCGCUGUCGGCGGCGUCUCGAAGCAUCGUUCCCGGGUCGGGCCAGCGCGCAUGGCUAUUGCAAGCUCGCCUUGUUAAUAUCGGCUGCGCGCGCUCCGACUCAGGUCUAGCAGACGGCCGGGGACCCGAAAGAUGGCGAUCCACGCCCGGUCGGGACGAAGCCAGAGGAAACUCUGGUGGAAGUCCGAAGCGCCUCUGACGUGCAAAUCGAUCGUCGGAACCGGGUGUAGGGGCGAAAGACCAAUCGAGCCGUCUA